GCCAAGGGUUGGGGCGUCCCCGUCCAUCCGGCCCCAUCGCAACGCCGAAGCCGGAGGACAGGAGCGGGAGCCUGGCAGCGAGCGCAACCCCCUACGAGACAACCGAGAAUCCCCCCCCAGCGCCUCCACGUCCCACAGGGGACCCUCUCCGGUGCCCCCACGUCACCACUGGGAGCCUGGUGGCACUGGGAGGUGCCGGCUGAGCCGGACUGGGGCCGGUGGAGCUGAGUCGGGCUGAGCCAAACUGGGCCAAAGUGAGCCAGGCUGAGCCGGGCUGAACUUUGCCGGGCUGAGCCGCGGUGGGUGAGCGUGGCGCCGGCAGGAGCAGGAAGCGGAGCGUGGCGGCGGCCCAGCCCAGACACCUCCUCGGGUCCGGCCAAACCAGUUCUGGCGGCCGCUCCCAGCUCCACCUCACCGCGCUGGCAUCCAGGCCGGGGCGGCCGCGCCGGCAGGCCGGGGGCGAGGGAGCCGGCACCCUCGCCCGCCGUGGGAACUGCCCCGAGCCCGCCUGCCGGCACGGCCCCCCACACCGCGGCGUCACCCCUCGCCUCCGCCCGGCCGUCGGUGCCCGGUGCCGGCGCCCACGCGGUGCUGCAGCGCUCGGGGGGGACGCGUGGACGCCGGCCAGCGCUCCGGUUUCGGCCCCAAAAAGAUUUGGAACAGGGCUGCGGGAUGUGCACGGCCGUGGGCCAGCCCUGCCACGGCACGGCACGGCUCGGCACGGCUCGGCACGGCUCGGCGCGGCCGGCCCCGCCACCGGUCUCCUGGGCCAGGCAGGGGCAGGCACAGCCCGGCCACGGCGGCGUGGGGCCGUCCGGCACGCGGCACACGUAACACACGCACGGCGCCCACAGCCGCGCCGGCAGCGCUCGGUGGCCACGGGCGUGCACGCACCAGGCCCCGCCGUUCCCGGAAUGCCGCACGGGGCCGGGUUAAUCAUUCACCCGCUGCCCGUCCCUGUCCCCGUCCCUGUCCCCCGCCUCCCGGCCAGCUCGGGGUCCAAGUCCACGGCCGGGCAGGACCGAUGCCAUCACGCGGCUGCCACCACCAUCCCCAUCCCAUCAUUCCAUCCUUGUCCCUGCCACGUCCCGGUCCCUGCCACGUCCCCGUCCCUGCCCCGGCCGUCCCGCCGGUAUGAACCCUCCGUUCCAUCCCCGCUCCCCUGCCCUGGCUGUGCCGGAGGGGCCGGG
RNAcentral lists this long non-coding RNA (1190 nucleotides) under Accipiter nisus (Eurasian sparrowhawk). RNAcentral describes it as "lncRNA (ENSANIG00000017840.1)". Lineage: Eukaryota; Metazoa; Chordata; Aves; Accipitriformes; Accipitridae. The record is from RNAcentral.